Molecule: ribosomal RNA, 1788 nt
Filed under: gut metagenome
Description: bacterial LSU rRNA
Rfam family: Bacterial large subunit ribosomal RNA
Source: RNAcentral
CGUUCUUCGGAGCGUAAUGUCUGGUGGCGUGCCUAUAGAAGAAUGAUCCGACGAGUUAUUGCAUGUAGCGAGGUUAAGCAGGUAAUUGCGGAGCCGCAGCGAAAGCGAGUCUGAAGAGGGCGAAAGUUGCAUGUAGUAGACCCGAAACCAGGUGAGCUACCCUUGGCCAGGAUGAAGCUUUGGUAACACAAAGUGGAGGUCCGAAUGCCUCAACGUUGAAAAGUUGAGUAAUGAGCUGUGGGUAGGGGUGAAAAGCCAAUCGAACCUGGAGAUAGCUGGUUCUCCCCGAAAUAGUUUUAGGACUAGCCUCGGAGAAGAAUCUGCUGGGGGUAAAGCACUGAAUAGGCUAGGGGGCACACCAGCUUACCAACCCUAAUCAAACUCUGAAUACCAGCAGAUGUUAUCCGGGAGUCAGGCACAGUGAGAUAAGUUUCUGUGUCGCGAGGGAAACAGCCCAGACCGUCAGUUAAGGUCCCAAAGUAUAUGCCGAGUGGGAAAGGAUGUGGAGGUCCCCAGACAGCCAGGAGGUUGGCUUAGAAGCAGCCAUUCCUUUAAAGAGUGCGUAAUAGCUCACUGGUCGAGGGCUUCUGCGCCGAAAAUGUAACGGGGCUAAGCAUAUCACCGAAACCACGGGUUCGUUUGUUCUUAGGAACGAAUGGGCGGUAGGGGAGCGUUCUGCCGUAGUAAGAAGCGUUACCGUAAGGAGACGUGGACGAAGCAGAAGUGAGAAUGUCGGAACGAGUAGCGAUAAGACAGGCGAGAAACCUGUUCGCCGUAAACCUGAGGUUUCCUGGGCAAGGUUAAUCCUCCCAGGGUCAGUCGGUCCUAAGCCGAGGCCGAGAGGCGUAGGUGAAGGGAAACGAGUUAAUAUUCCGUACCUGUGAAUGAUGUUCUAUCGAAGGAGUGACGCAGAAGGCUAUGUCCGCGGGGACCGAGUUCUCCGUCUGGGCUUGAUACCGGCCUGCAGGCAAAUCCGCAGGCGUGAGGUUCUGGAGUCCGGCAACCCGAAACAAGUAGGGGGAGUGAGCAGAUGCCACGCUGCCGAGAAAAGCUUCUAAGAGAGUUAUUUACAGACCGUACCGCAAACCGACACAGGUGGGUGAGGAGAAAAUCCUAAGGCGCUCGAGAGAAUCCACGUUAAGGAAUUCGGCAAAUUGACUCCGUAACUUCGGGAGAAGGAGUGCUCCAUGGUGUGACUGAAGCAUGUUAGCAAUAGUAUGUCGUCAGGUAGUGCUGUGGAGUCGCAGAGAAUAGAACCAGGCGACUGUUUAUCAAAAACAUAGGACUUUGCCAAAGCGAACAGCCGAAGUAUAAGGUCUGAUGCCUGCCCAAUGCUGGAAGGUUACGGGGAGGAGUCAGGGGCUACGUGCCCUGCAGCUCUGAACUUAAGCCCCAGUGAAUGGCGGCCGUAACUAUAACGGUCCUAAGGUAGCGAAAUCCCUUGUCAGGUAAGUUCUGACCCGCAUGAAUGGCUUAACGGUCUGGUUACUGUCUCAACGUGGAAUUCGGCGAAACUGUGCACCGGGUGAAGACGCCCGGUAUCCGCAUCAGGACAAAAAGACCCCAUGGAGCUUUACUGUAUCUUGAUAUUGAAAUUUGGCCUGUUAUGUAGAGUAUAGGUGGGAGACUAUGAAGUUAGGGCGCCAGCCUUGGCGGAGUCGGCAAUGGAAUACCACCCUUAGUAGUCUGGAUUUCUAACCUUGAGCCCUUGAACGGGUUUGGGGACAGUGUCAGGUGGGCAGUUUGACUGGGGCGGUCGCCUCCAAAAGAGUAACGGAGGCGUUCAAA